This is a long non-coding RNA of Telopea speciosissima, 619 nucleotides long. RefSeq lists it as uncharacterized. Lineage: Eukaryota; Viridiplantae; Streptophyta; Magnoliopsida; Proteales; Proteaceae. The transcript is spliced from 2 exons. The record is from RefSeq and is a predicted model, not a curated record.
CCCAAAUUAUAAUGCUCUCCUUAGCCUUAAAGCCAUCCAAUAGUCCAAGCACUAUGUGAUUCUCAAAUGCCCUGCUGUUCCUUUCGAGUGACAAACCCAAAGCUGACACUGCCGGCAUAAACAACUGAGGUUUCUUACCUAUUGUCCCAAAUUAAUAACCUUUCCAGUUCCAUAACAUGACAUAAACAACUGAGGUUUCUUACCUAUUCACAUUUUUCUCUACCAGAAAUCCAGAAUGCUGCCCAUGCCUCAAAUAUGCCAAGGAUAAUGAUGCAAUAACUGAGACAUUGAUUCAGCACCCCUUAGGAAAAAAAUGGGAUGCAUUGGACAGACCGAGAUCCGUUCACUUAGAAAGAUGAUCAAUAGUGAGGAUGCUUUUCUUAGCCACUGCCCUAAGAAAAAUCUGAAGAAAAAACUGACUCUUCGUAGAUACAUGCUUCAGCCAUAUAGUGCUCAGACAGAAAGUGGUGCAACCUUGCCUCUUUAGCACAUUGAACCCAGGCUUUCAGAGAAUGAAUCCAGAUCCUCUUUCCCACUCCUUCAUAAGUGGUUUUCCCUUCCAACAUUUGCAGCUGAUGGAACAUUUGAUGAAGCUUCCAGUUAUUAAGGUUACAUUGAA